This 252-nucleotide ribosomal RNA is filed under the name uncultured bacterium. RNAcentral's name for it is "partial 16S ribosomal RNA". It matches the Rfam family "Bacterial small subunit ribosomal RNA", at positions 524 to 776 of the family's 1533-position model. The record is from RNAcentral.
UACGUAGGGGGCAAGCGUUGUCCGGAAUCAUUGGGCGUAAAGAGCGUGUAGGCGGCUAUACAGGUCCGCUGUGAAAACUCGAGGCUCAACCUCGAGACGUCGGUGGAAACCGUAUGGCUAGAGUCCGGAAGAGGAGAGUGGAAUUCCUGGUGUAGCGGUGAAAUGCGCAGAUAUCAGGAAGAACACCCGUGGCGAAGGCGGCUCUCUGGGACGGUACUGACGCUGAGACGCGAAAGCGUGGGAGCGAACAGG